Mycena belliarum is the source of this 94-nucleotide non-coding RNA. The record is from the annotation of a GenBank genome assembly. Lineage: Eukaryota; Fungi; Basidiomycota; Agaricomycetes; Agaricales; Mycenaceae.
GCCUCUUUAGUUCAGUGGUAGAACGCAGCACUCGUAUGGGAACCGUCUCCAAAAGUACAUGCUGAGGUCAGUCGUUCAAUCCGGCUAGGAGGCA